RNAcentral lists this long non-coding RNA (225 nucleotides) under Elaeis guineensis (African oil palm). RNAcentral describes it as "long non-coding RNA (EGUI_LNC011520)". Lineage: Eukaryota; Viridiplantae; Streptophyta; Magnoliopsida; Arecales; Arecaceae. The record is from RNAcentral.
GCCCGAAUAUAUAAUACCAUAUAUUAUAAGCUUGAAUCCAUUAAACUUUAAUCCGUGAGCCAGCCGAUCACUCUAAGAUUUCUAUAGCUCCAAGUCCCAACAUUGGAACCUCUGCGGGCUACAGUCGUGUCCUCUCCACUGCAGGCUCCCAUGCCCCAUGUCUGAUAAGAUCCACUUUCUGAUGUCCUACAGGAUUACCUCUGGGCCAACCGUAAAGCCGAGUGC